RNAcentral lists this ribosomal RNA (253 nucleotides) under uncultured bacterium. Its description in RNAcentral is "partial 16S ribosomal RNA". It matches the Rfam family "Bacterial small subunit ribosomal RNA", at positions 524 to 776 of the family's 1533-position model. The record is from RNAcentral.
UACAGAGGUCUCAAGCGUUGUUCGGAUUCAUUGGGCGUAAAGGGUGUGUAGGUGGCGCCGUAAGUCAGGUGUGAAAUUUCGGAGCUUAACUCCGAAACUGCAUUUGAUACUGCGGUGCUUGAGGACUGGAGAGGAGACUGGAAUUCAUGGUGUAGCAGUGAAAUGCGUAGAGAUCAUGAGGAAGACCAGUGGCGAAGGCGGGUCUCUGGACAGUUCCUGACACUGAGACACGAAGGCCAGGGGAGCAAACGGG